This 203-nucleotide ribosomal RNA is filed under the name uncultured bacterium. RNAcentral describes it as "partial 16S ribosomal RNA". It matches the Rfam family "Bacterial small subunit ribosomal RNA", at positions 1296 to 1500 of the family's 1533-position model. The record is from RNAcentral.
GAUUGAAGGCUGAAAUUCGCCUUCAUGAAGCUGGAAUUGCUAGUAAUGGCAGGUCAGCAUACUGCCGUGAAUACGUUCCCGGGCCUUGUACACACCGCCCGUCACACCAUGAGAGUUGGGAAUACCCGAAGCCUGUGAGCUAACGUAAGAGGCAGCAGUCGAAGGUAGAAUCAAUGAUUGGGGUGAAGUCGUAACAAGGUAUC